UACCAAAAAAGGUGAUUUUUAUAAAAGCCAGUGGACAGGAUCUGUGGGCAGAAAGGGCUGCUGCCGUGUGCUGCCCCGGGACUUUGGGGUUGGGGGACAUCAAGACAAAGCAAAGUUUCAAACGGACUUUGAUCUGCUAAACAAGACUCCCAGGACCCCGGAGGCCUGGCUACUGCCAAGCUAAGGUUGUUUUUCCUUCUGGCAAGGCACAGGUGCAGUAAAGACAAGAAAGAGUGGAAAAACCUUUGAGGGGGAAGAAGGCAGGACGAUUUUCCCAGCGCUCUCCAGCCACAAGGGUUAUGCCUGAGCACUGCUGGGCACUGUCUCAAGGAGCCACACAACAAGUCAGUGCCUGGGGACAAGCAGAAUGGCUUCUUCGGGAGCCGCUGGAAAGCCUGGGGCCAGAGCUGGCCAGAGCACUCAUUCGUCAGGAAUUCCAUCGUGGCUGCUGUUUUGAAAGAAAGACGCCAGGAGACAAGACACGUAGCAAAUCACAGCGCGACGCUGACAUGGUGUGGAACACCGGGAGACAGAGCCGAUUUUCUUGUCAAGCGCCAGUGAAAAUCAAAGAUGCUGAGGAGGGGUGGACAGAGAGGACCCAUGAACCGCCACAUACCAGCAAUACUGGACUUGAUGCGAUGUCUUCGGGGCUCAAAUCCCGACAUAUGCUGUCCUUCUGAGUCCGGAUACAAUCGAAUGCAAUCGAAUCCUUCCAUACGGAGAGGAAUAAAAACUACCCCUUCCUGGGAACUCAUCUGUGCCAGGCACAGCAGGUUUUCAAGCCCGGGUUCCCGUUAACCCUACGUGUGAGGGAGAUGUAACUGCGCCACACGACACACGGGGGAACGGACUGAAACAGAAAGGUUCAGUGACCGGCCCGAGGCAGCCCAGCUCACGGGUAAUAGAACCCAAUGUUGAAAAUUGGAUUUGCCGGAGUCCAGACCAGUAUUUUUCAUUUAUGACCCAGCCCCCUAAGACAUGAGGUUAAAACACUUUCCCUCUAAGUGGAUGGAAUUGAGACAAUUUAUGUCACUGAAAAAUUGUUUUGCAAGAUUAAAAGCCUCCCAACUGUGAGCUCCCGGCAGCUCUGACUCACUACAGGUCAAAAUCGGCAUCUGUCGAACCAACCCCCACCCCAACCCCAGUUUGUCCCGCUCUGUUUACUACCAUGAUGAGCCUCACGGGGCAGGCAUGGCCUUGGGGGACCCACACCCAGGGGGCUUUCCCCUAGCUGUUUCCUACCCUUUUCCCCCUACAUUUGUUAUGAACAUCCUGAAAUAUGCAGCAGAGCUGAGGACAUUGACAUAAAGAUGCACAGACCAUCUGGAUUCUACCUUGAAGGCUUAACUGCUCUGGCACUGUUACCCAUCGAUCCUUGGGGCCAGACCCUUGGCUCCUAGACCUGUCUUGAGAACGUAAGCCGUAUUAGUUGCAUUAUUAACUCAGCUCCACAUUCUGUUUUGGUCUCUACUUAAUUAUGUUUUAUGCACCUGUUAACCUCAUGCACGGCCAAUCAUUAACUUUGCCUUUUUACCCUUAACUCCCUGUUUGCGCACUGGUUGUAGAAACCUAAAUGGGGACCAGAAGGUGACAUUCGUCUUGAUGUAUUUGCUCAUACCAGGUCCCAAAUAGGGCCUCGUUGUCCAGAAGAGUUUCUAGAACCCCCUCCCUCAAGCUUUCAAGAGUCCCCUUACCCACCUCUUAUGUAGAUAAGCUGUCCUAGACUCAGCAAGGCAAGCAAGGCAGCUUUGGGAACAAUCCCCUGCCUUCCGGUCCGUCCAGCUGCCCUUCCAAUAAGAAAACUUUCUUUGCUUCAAAACUGGUAUCUCAGGAGCUCCUGGGUGGCUCAGGUCAUGAUCCUGGGGUCCUGGGAU
Neogale vison (American mink) is the source of this 1874-nucleotide long non-coding RNA. RefSeq lists it as uncharacterized. The record is from RefSeq and is a predicted model, not a curated record. The transcript has 3 exons. Lineage: Eukaryota; Metazoa; Chordata; Mammalia; Carnivora; Mustelidae.